AAUAGAUCCAGUUGUGGAUGCCUUGGCUCAAACACCGAGGAAGGUUGCAGCGAAAUGCUUUAUUCAUAAUGACUUGCAAAACUUCGUGAACCAAUAGAAUGUUGAAUGUGCACAAUGCGUGUUGGCCUGGC
RNAcentral lists this ribosomal RNA (131 nucleotides) under Gonyaulax spinifera. RNAcentral's name for it is "5.8S ribosomal RNA". It matches the Rfam family "5.8S ribosomal RNA", at positions 1 to 128 of the family's 154-position model. From Rfam's summary of the family: 5.8S ribosomal RNA (5.8S rRNA) is a component of the large subunit of the eukaryotic ribosome. It is transcribed by RNA polymerase I as part of the 45S precursor that also contains 18S and 28S rRNA. Lineage: Eukaryota; Dinophyceae; Gonyaulacales; Gonyaulacaceae. The record is from RNAcentral.